UAAUCUGUCUGCGUCUGCUAAUUUGAUUUGAAAUCGAAUUAAUAUUAUUUGUUUGAUAGCUUUGUUAAAGAAAGGAUAGUGAUAAUGCUGUUAUUUUGUUAUUAGUAUAAGUCUAACAUAGCCAUUUAGUCUGGUAAUAGGCCUAUAUCUUUUGGAACCGACGUGACAUCAUUAGCCUAUGUUAGCAAUGCUUUUCGUACCGGUAACUUACUGGAUCCAUAUGAAGCCCUAAGUCCAUAUGUACGUCUAACUGUGGUUUUAUGACAAGAUAUAGAUUAUUGCAGAUGGAUAUUAAUACAUAAACAUCAGAAUAUGGGGAACCUUAAAGAUAGUAACGGACACAUUAUAAGUGGGACAUCAAUUUGUGUUGACUACUGGGUGUCGUCACCAGAAAAGAAAUUUGACCACUUCUUGACUCAUCUACACGCUGAUCACACGGUCGGAUUGAAUUCAUCAUUUGAAGGAACCAUCUACACGUCCCC
Molecule: long non-coding RNA, 482 nt
Organism: Macrosteles quadrilineatus (aster leafhopper)
Lineage: Eukaryota; Metazoa; Arthropoda; Insecta; Hemiptera; Cicadellidae
Exons: 4
Source: RefSeq, a predicted model, not a curated record